GACGAACGCUGGCGGCGUGCCUAAUACAUGCAAGUUGAGCGCUGAAGGUUGGUACUUGUACCAACUGGAUGAGCAGCGAACGGGUGAGUAACGCGUGGGGAAUCUGCCUUUGAGCGGGGGACAACAUUUGGAAACGAAUGCUAAUACCGCAUAAAAACUUUAAACACAAGUUUUAAGUUUGAAAGAUGCAAUUGCAUCACUCAAAGAUGAUCCCGCGUUGUAUUAGCUAGUUGGUGAGGUAAAGGCUCACCAAGGCGAUGAUACAUAGCCGACCUGAAAGGGUGAUCGGCCACAUUGGGACUGAGACACGGCCCAAACUCCUACGGGAGGCAGCAGUAGGGAAUCUUCGGCAAUGGACGAAAGUCUGACCGAGCAACGCCGCGUGAGUGAAGAAGGUUUUCGGAUCGUAAAACUCUGUUGGUAGAGAAGAACGUUGGUGAGAGUGGAAGCUCAUCAAGUGACGGUAACUACCCAGAAAGGGACGGCUAACUACGUG
This 496-nucleotide ribosomal RNA is filed under the name uncultured bacterium. RNAcentral's name for it is "partial 16S ribosomal RNA". It matches the Rfam family "Bacterial small subunit ribosomal RNA", at positions 28 to 507 of the family's 1533-position model. The record is from RNAcentral.